CCUCACCCCCCUCGUCGCUCGACCUCCGCCCAGCCUCACCUAGCCUCGGCGAUAUUCCUUCUGCCCUGCCGUGAAGAGCCACCACUGGAUUAGGCGAAGCCCUUACCGCCGCCGUGAAGAGCCACCACUGGAGGGGUCGACGUCGCGAAGCCCUUGCCGCCACUCUGCCUUCACCGGCUGAUCUGUCUCUGCAGGAAUUCAACCUCCGCCGUCGGAUUGAAACAAUUAAAUAGGACGCCGUCGGAUUUGGUCACCAACGCUGCUGCCAAGCCCUCUGCCGCCGCCGUCGGAUUCCGCUGCCAAGCUCUCUCCCGCUGCCGUCGAAUUUCGCCGCUGCCAAGUAAUUUUUCUUCUUUAAUUUCAGUGAUUUUUCUUGUCAAUGAGCAUGUAUAUUGGGUGGCUUUUUCCAGAAAUUCUACUACUGAAAUUCCACUGUAAAUUUUGCUUGUAGGCUUUGUCUCAAAAGCUCCGCAAGGAAUUGUAAGAUAUCUCUAUUUCUUUAUUAAUAAAACUUGCUCAUUUUGUGUGACACAAUUUUAGUUCUAAUCGAUGAUUUUGAAAUGAGAGAUAAAUUUUCAGCUUAGAUUCUUGAAACAAUGGACAAGUGUGGGGGUUUGGGGGAGAGAAGGGCUUGUUUUGCAGAUCUGAAACUGCAAGUGAUGAAGACUUUUAAUUGAGGAUAGCUUGGUUAAUAAAGAUUUUGGAGGUCUCUUUUGCUGCAUUAUGUGAUUUUAUCUCUGUUUUGCAAAUAAUCAAGAAUAUUGUUUCAAAGAUACAUUUGCAGCUGUGAAGUUUUCAGGUUAUUUCGUAUACAGCUAGCAUCUAAUCUCAGUGUUAAAUAAAAAUCUAGUUUUCUAUCUCAAGUGGCUAAACAGCCAUGAUCCAUAUUCCUUCUUCUAGUUCUACUGGUUUGGAUCUUUGUGUUCGUGUGUGUGUGAGAGAGAGAGAGAGAUGAGUUGAGAAACUGUGAUGGAGGUUUGAGGUUUGUUUGUGUGCAGAUAUUUGUGAAAAGUUUUAAGUCAAGUUAAUAAAUGAAAUAGCUUUUCCUAGGCCAACUCAGGGAGCAGGGAUCUCUUAUGUUUCUGUAUUAUUUCUACGUGAUUGAUGAUACUUCCUUUUUCUUGAUUCUGAUUUUUGUAUAGCACUGAUAGUUGUUGNNN
Molecule: long non-coding RNA, 1160 nt
Filed under: Salvia miltiorrhiza (redroot sage)
Lineage: Eukaryota; Viridiplantae; Streptophyta; Magnoliopsida; Lamiales; Lamiaceae
Description: long non-coding RNA (SMIL_LNC004568)
Source: RNAcentral